This 425-nucleotide ribosomal RNA is filed under the name uncultured bacterium. RNAcentral's name for it is "partial 16S ribosomal RNA". It matches the Rfam family "Bacterial small subunit ribosomal RNA", at positions 354 to 796 of the family's 1533-position model. The record is from RNAcentral.
GUGGGGAAUCUUGCGCAAUGGGCGAAAGCCUGACGCAGCCAUGCCGCGUGAAUGAUGAAGGUCUUAGGAUUGUAAAAUUCUUUCACCGGGGACGAUAAUGACGGUACCCGGAGAAGAAGCUCCGGCUAACUUCGUGCCAGCAGCCGCGGUAAUACGAAGGGGGCUAGCGUUGCUCGGAGUUACUGGGCGUAAAGGGCGCGUAGGCGGACAGCUUAGUCAGAGGUGAAAGCCCAGGGCUCAACCUUGGAAUUGCCUUUGAUACUGGCUGUCUUGAGUUUGGGAGAGGUGAGUGGAACUCCGAGUGUAGAGGUGAAAUUCGUAGAUAUUCGGAAGAACACCAGUGGCGAAGGCGACUCACUGGCCCAAUACUGACGCUGAGGCGCGAAAGCGUGGGGAGCAAACAGGAUUAGAUACCCUAGUAGUCC